This 72-nucleotide transfer RNA is filed under the name Aneura pinguis. Its description in RNAcentral is "tRNA-Val". It matches the Rfam family "tRNA". Rfam says of the family: Transfer RNA (tRNA) molecules are approximately 80 nucleotides in length. Their secondary structure includes four short double-helical elements and three loops (D, anti-codon, and T loops). Lineage: Eukaryota; Viridiplantae; Streptophyta; Jungermanniopsida; Metzgeriales; Aneuraceae. The record is from RNAcentral.
AGGACUAUAGCUCAGUGGUAGAGCACCUCGUUUACACCGAGAAUGUCUACGGUUCGAAUCCGUAUAGUCCUA